This 501-nucleotide ribosomal RNA is filed under the name uncultured bacterium. RNAcentral's name for it is "bacterial SSU rRNA". It matches the Rfam family "Bacterial small subunit ribosomal RNA", at positions 8 to 507 of the family's 1533-position model. The record is from RNAcentral.
AGAGUUUGAUCCUGGCUCAGGAUUAACGCUGGCGGUAUGCCUAACACAUGCAAGUCGAACGGAAUACUAAUUAAGAGAAUCUCACACUAGUGAGAGGUUCUCACGAGUAGUAUUUAGUGGCGGACGGGUGAGUAACACGUUGGAACCUGCCCCGAAGUGGGGAAUAACUGCUCGAAAGAGUAGCUAAUACCCCAUAGUAUCCGGUUUAUCCGGAUUAAAGAUUUUAUCGCUUCGGGAGGGGCCUGCGUCUGAUUAGCUUGUUGGUGAGGUAAAAGCUCACCAAGGCGACGAUCAGUAGCUGGUUCGAGAGGAUGACCAGCCACACUGGGACUGAGAUACGGCCCAGACUCCUACGGGAGGCAGCAGUGAGGAAUCUUCCACAAUGGACGAAAGUCUGAUGGAGCAAUACCGCGUGCAGGAAGACGCUUUUCGGAGUGUAAACUGCUUUUGUCGUCGAAGAUUAUGACUGUAGACGAAGAAUAAGGACCGGCUAACUACGUG